This 254-nucleotide ribosomal RNA is filed under the name uncultured bacterium. Its description in RNAcentral is "partial 16S ribosomal RNA". It matches the Rfam family "Bacterial small subunit ribosomal RNA", at positions 524 to 776 of the family's 1533-position model. The record is from RNAcentral.
UACGUAGGGUGCGAGCGUUAAUCGGAAUUACUGGGCGUAAAGAGCUCGUAGGCGGUCUGUCGCGUCGAUCGUGAAAACUUGGGGCUUAACCCUGAGCUUGCGGUCGAUACGGGCAUGACUGGAGUUCGGCAGGGGAGACUGGAAUUCCUGGUGUAGCGGUGAAAUGCGCAGAUAUCAGGAGGAACACCGGUGGCGAAGGCGGAUCUCUGGGCCAUUACUGACGCUGAGGAGCGAAAGCGUGGGGAGCAAACAGG